RNAcentral lists this non-coding RNA (31 nucleotides) under Rattus norvegicus (Norway rat). The record is from RNAcentral. Lineage: Eukaryota; Metazoa; Chordata; Mammalia; Rodentia; Muridae.
UCCAAUUGGUGUUUGAGCCAGAUAUUUCAGU